AACUCAUGAUGAGGGCACCUUCUCAGAAGAUCCUUAAAUCUCUCUCAUGCAUCAUACAAUGUCUUAAGCUCAACUUGAACAAAAGAAGAGAUGUCAUUCCUCAACUU
RNAcentral lists this small nucleolar RNA (107 nucleotides) under Gossypium hirsutum (cotton). RNAcentral describes it as "Plant small nucleolar RNA R71". It matches the Rfam family "Plant small nucleolar RNA R71". From Rfam's summary of the family: R71 is a member of the C/D box family of snoRNAs containing the C (UGAUGA) and D (CUGA) box motifs. Multiple nearly identical copies of this snoRNA have been identified in Arabidopsis, and it is thought to function as a 2'-O-ribose methylation guide for 18S ribosomal RNA. Lineage: Eukaryota; Viridiplantae; Streptophyta; Magnoliopsida; Malvales; Malvaceae. The record is from Rfam by way of RNAcentral.